AGAGUUUGAUCCUGGCUCAGAUUGAACGCUGGCGGCAGGCCUAACACAUGCAAGUCGAACGGUAGCACAGAGAGCUUGCUCUCGGGUGACGAGUGGCGGACGGGUGAGUAAUGUCUGGGAAACUGCCUGAUGGAGGGGGAUAACUACUGGAAACGGUAGCUAAUACCGCAUAACGUCGCAAGACCAAAGAGGGGGACCUUCGGGCCUCUUGCCAUCAGAUGUGCCCAGAUGGGAUUAGCUAGUAGGUGGGGUAACGGCUCACCUAGGCGACGAUCCCUAGCUGGUCUGAGAGGAUGACCAGCCACACUGGAACUGAGACACGGUCCAGACUCCUACGGGAGGCAGCAGUGGGGAAUAUUGCACAAUGGGCGCAAGCCUGAUGCAGCCAUGCCGCGUGUAUGAAGAAGGCCUUCGGGUUGUAAAGUACUUUCAGCGGGGAGGAAGGUGUUGUGGUUAAUAACCGCAGCAAUUGACGUUACCCGCAGAAGAAGCACCGGCUAACUCCGUGCCAGCAGCCGCGGUAAUACGGAGGGUGCAAGCGUUAAUCGGAAUUACUGGGCGUAAAGCGCACGCAGGCGGUCUGUCAAGUCGGAUGUGAAAUCCCCGGGCUCAACCUGGGAACUGCAUUCGAAACUGGCAGGCUAGAGUCUUGUAGAGGGGGGUAGAAUUCCAGGUGUAGCGGUGAAAUGCGUAGAGAUCUGGAGGAAUACCGGUGGCGAAGGCGGCCCCCUGGACAAAGACUGACGCUCAGGUGCGAAAGCGUGGGGAGCAGACAGGAUUAGAUACCCUGGUAGUCCACG
This 800-nucleotide ribosomal RNA is filed under the name uncultured bacterium. RNAcentral describes it as "bacterial SSU rRNA". It matches the Rfam family "Bacterial small subunit ribosomal RNA", at positions 8 to 799 of the family's 1533-position model. The record is from RNAcentral.